UACAGAGACUGCAAGCGUUAUUCGGAUUCAUUGGGCGUAAAGGGUGCGUAGGCGGCGCGGUAAGUCGGGUGUGAAAUCUCGGAGCUUAACUCCGAAACUGCAUUCGAUACUGCCGUGCUUGAGGACUGGAGAGGAGACUGGAAUUUACGGUGUAGCGGUGAAAUGCGUAGAUAUCGUAAGGAAGACCAGUGGCGAAGGCGGGUCUCUGGACAGUUCCUGACGCUGAGGCACGAAGGUCAGGGGAGCAAACGGG
Molecule: ribosomal RNA, 253 nt
Filed under: uncultured bacterium
Lineage: Bacteria
Description: partial 16S ribosomal RNA
Rfam family: Bacterial small subunit ribosomal RNA
Source: RNAcentral